This 275-nucleotide ribosomal RNA is filed under the name uncultured bacterium. Its description in RNAcentral is "partial 16S ribosomal RNA". It matches the Rfam family "Bacterial small subunit ribosomal RNA", at positions 399 to 691 of the family's 1533-position model. The record is from RNAcentral.
GCGUGAGUGAUGAAGGUCUUCGGAUCGUAAAGCUCUUUUAGUGGGGAAGAUAAUGACGGUACCCACAGAAAAAGCUCCGGCUAACUUCGUGCCAGCAGCCGCGGUAAUACGAAGGGAGCUAGCGUUGUUCGGAUUUACUGGGCGUAAAGAGCGUGUAGGCGGCUUAGCAAGUUGGAAGUGAAAUCCCGGGGCUUAACCCCGGAACUGCUUCCAAAACUGCUUAGCUAGAGUAUGUAAGAGGGUGAUGGAAUUCCUAGUGUAGAGGUGAAAUUCAU